RNAcentral lists this ribosomal RNA (465 nucleotides) under uncultured bacterium. RNAcentral's name for it is "partial 16S ribosomal RNA". It matches the Rfam family "Bacterial small subunit ribosomal RNA", at positions 28 to 507 of the family's 1533-position model. The record is from RNAcentral.
GACGAACGCUGGCGGCGUGCUUAACACAUGCAAGUCGAACGGAAAGGCCCCUUUGGGGGUACUCGAGUGGCGAACGGGUGAGUAACACGUGAGUAACCUGCCCUUGACUUCGGGAUAACUUCAGGAAACUGGGGCUAAUACCGGAUAGGAAUCCUUGCUGCAUGGUGGGGGUUGGAAAGCUUCGGCGGUUUUGGAUGGACUCGCGGCUUAUCAGCUUGUUGGUGGGGUAGUGGCUUACCAAGGCUUUGACGGGUAGCCGGCCUGAGAGGGCGACCGGCCACAUUGGGACUGAGAUACGGCCCAGACUCCUACGGGAGGCAGCAGUGGGGAAUAUUGAACAAUGGGCGGAAGCCUGAUGCAGCAACGACGCGUGCGGGAUGACGGCCUUCGGGUUGUAAACCGCUUUCAGCAGGGGCGAAGCUUGUGGUGACGGUACCUGCAGAAGAAGCACCGGCUAACUACGUG